AGGCCGCGACUUUUGCAACUGUUGACUGCAUUGGAAGCAAAUUGCACUCGUCCCGGCCUAC
Molecule: microRNA precursor, 61 nt
Filed under: Lingula anatina
Lineage: Eukaryota; Metazoa; Brachiopoda; Lingulata; Lingulida; Lingulidae
Description: Lan-Mir-92-o81_pre stem-loop
Source: RNAcentral